RNAcentral lists this ribosomal RNA (433 nucleotides) under uncultured bacterium. RNAcentral's name for it is "partial 16S ribosomal RNA". It matches the Rfam family "Bacterial small subunit ribosomal RNA", at positions 28 to 507 of the family's 1533-position model. The record is from RNAcentral.
GACGAACGCUGGCGGCGUGCCUAACACAUGCAAGUCGAACGCUACCUUCCAGUCUACUGGGUCGCUGGUUGGUGAACGGGUGAGUCCUACCCUUGUAAUCUGCCUACCUCCCCGGGAUAAGUGCUGAUACCGGGUAAUAACACCGGACCUACGCUUUAUCGCCUUUGGAUGUGGCCGCGUUGGUUUAGCUAGUUGGUAGGGUAGAAGCCUACCAAGGCGACGAUCGAUAGCUGGUCUGCGAGGAUGAUCAGUCACACUGGGACUGAGACACGGCCAAGACUCGGACGGGAGGCAGCAGUGGGGAAUAUCGGACAAUGGGCGGAAGCGUGAUCCAGCAAUGCCUCGGGAGUGAUGAAGGCCUUAGGGUUGGAAAGCGCUUCUACUUGGGAUGAUAAUGACAGUAGCGGGAGAAUAAGCGCCGGCUAACUACGUG